GACGAACGCUGGCGGCGUGCCUAAUACAUGCAAGUUGAACGCUUCUUUCUUAUCGAACUUCGGUUCACCAAGAAAGAGGAGUAGCGAACGGGUGAGUAACACGUGGGUAACCUGCCCAUCAGCGGGGGAUAACACUUGGAAACAGGUGCUAAUACCGCAUAAUGCUUUUUCUCACAUGAGAGAAAGCUGAAAGGCGCUUUUGCGUCACUGAUGGAUGGACCCGCGGUGCAUUAGCUAGUUGGUAGGGUAACGGCCUACCAAGGCAACGAUGCAUAGCCGACCUGAGAGGGUGAUCGGCCACACUGGGACUGAGACACGGCCCAGACUCCUACGGGAGGCAGCAGUAGGGAAUCUUCGGCAAUGGACGAAAGUCUGACCGAGCAACGCCGCGUGAGUGAAGAAGGUUUUCGGAUCGUAAAACUCUGUUGUUAGAGAAGAACAAGGAUGAGAAGAGAAUGUUCAUCCCCUGACGG
This 473-nucleotide ribosomal RNA is filed under the name Enterococcus italicus. RNAcentral describes it as "bacterial SSU rRNA". It matches the Rfam family "Bacterial small subunit ribosomal RNA", at positions 28 to 475 of the family's 1533-position model. Lineage: Bacteria; Bacillati; Bacillota; Bacilli; Lactobacillales; Enterococcaceae. The record is from RNAcentral.